RNAcentral lists this transfer RNA (76 nucleotides) under Mesorhizobium sp. B4-1-3. RNAcentral's name for it is "tRNA-Asn". It matches the Rfam family "tRNA". Rfam says of the family: Transfer RNA (tRNA) molecules are approximately 80 nucleotides in length. Their secondary structure includes four short double-helical elements and three loops (D, anti-codon, and T loops). The record is from RNAcentral. Lineage: Bacteria; Pseudomonadati; Pseudomonadota; Alphaproteobacteria; Hyphomicrobiales; Phyllobacteriaceae.
UGGGAUGUAGCUCAGUUGGUGGAGCAGCGGACUGUUAACCCGUGUGUCGCAGGUUCGAGCCCUGCCUUCCCAGCCA